GCGCCCUUAGCUCAGUGGUAGAGCGUCCCGUUCACAUCGGGAAGGCCGGAAGUUCGAUCCUUCCAGGGCGCACCA
This 75-nucleotide transfer RNA is filed under the name Candidatus Colwelliibacteriota bacterium. RNAcentral's name for it is "Candidatus Colwellbacteria bacterium tRNA-Val". It matches the Rfam family "tRNA". From Rfam's summary of the family: Transfer RNA (tRNA) molecules are approximately 80 nucleotides in length. Their secondary structure includes four short double-helical elements and three loops (D, anti-codon, and T loops). The record is from RNAcentral. Lineage: Bacteria; Candidatus Colwelliibacteriota.